GAAAAGCCUCUAAGCUUCAGAUUGUAAGGAAUCGUACCCCAAACCGACACAGGUGGUCGGGUAGAGAAUACCAAGGCGCUUGAGAGAACUCGGGUGAAGGAACUAGGCAAAAUGGUACCGUAACUUCGGGAGAAGGUACGCUCUUGAUGGUGAAGUCCCUUGCGGAUGGAGCUGACGAGAGUCGCAGAUACCAGGUGGCUGCAACUGUUUAUUAAAAACACAGCACUGUGCAAAAUCGUAAGAUGACGUAUACGGUGUGACGCCUGCCCGGUGCCGGAAGGUUAAUUGAUGGGGUUAGACUUCGGUCGAAGCUCUUGAUCGAAGCCCCGGUAAACGCGGCGUACUAAAA
RNAcentral lists this ribosomal RNA (349 nucleotides) under uncultured Gammaproteobacteria bacterium. Its description in RNAcentral is "LSU rRNA". It matches the Rfam family "Bacterial large subunit ribosomal RNA", at positions 1612 to 1945 of the family's 2925-position model. Lineage: Bacteria; Pseudomonadati; Pseudomonadota; Gammaproteobacteria. The record is from RNAcentral.